AUUGAACGCUGGCGGCAGGCCUAACACAUGCAAGUCGAGCGGAGGAAGGGAGCUUGCUUCCGGAUUCAGUGGCGGACGGGCGAGUAAUGCCUAGGAAUCUGCUUGGCAGUGGGGGAUAACGUCCGGAAACGGGCGCUAAUACCGCAUACGUCCUGAGGGAGAAAGUGGGGGAUCUUCGGACCUAACGCCAUUAGAUGAGCCUAGGUCGGAUUAGCUAGUUGGUGGGGUAAAGGCCUACCAAGGCGACGAUCCGUAACUGGUCUGAGAGGAUGAUCAGUCACACUGGAACUGAGACACGGUCCAGACUCCUACGGGAGGCAGCAGUGGGGAAUAUUGGACAAUGGGCGAAAGCCUGAUCCAGCCAUGCCGCGUGUGUGAAGAAGGUCUUCGGAUUGUAAAGCACUUUAAGUUGGGAGGAAGGGCAGUAAGUUAAUACCUUGCUGUUUUGACGUUACCAACAGAAUAAGCACCGGCUAACUUCGUG
Molecule: ribosomal RNA, 484 nt
Filed under: uncultured bacterium
Lineage: Bacteria
Description: partial 16S ribosomal RNA
Rfam family: Bacterial small subunit ribosomal RNA
Source: RNAcentral